CGAAGUUGUGCGCAGCGUCGCGGCCAACAAUGGCGCGCAGUUUUCCGAGUCCGGCUAUUCGGGACUGGUCAAGCGCGCGACCGACGACGGCAUGCUGGCGCUGACUGUCGGCCAGCGCGAGGACCUUCCCGCCGCGUCGCUGAANNNNNNNNNNNGUGCUCGCCCCCCGCCGCAUGUUUGAUACGGCGAAGCCGAAACAGAAGGCGGCGAUCAAUCAGGCGAUGAUCGAGAUUUCCGGUGUGCCGAAAGCGCAACCG
Molecule: unclassified non-coding RNA, 257 nt
Filed under: Hevea brasiliensis (rubber tree)
Lineage: Eukaryota; Viridiplantae; Streptophyta; Magnoliopsida; Malpighiales; Euphorbiaceae
Source: RNAcentral